Molecule: ribosomal RNA, 870 nt
Filed under: Triticum aestivum (bread wheat)
Lineage: Eukaryota; Viridiplantae; Streptophyta; Magnoliopsida; Poales; Poaceae
Description: partial small subunit ribosomal RNA
Source: RNAcentral
AUGAAGAUGGCGACUUGCAUUCGUAAGGUGGCCUCGGAGGAGUUUGGAGUGUCCAGGGGAAGGAGAAGAGAAGAUAAGGAUACCUGGUGGUGGAAUGAUGAUGUCCAGAAGGCGAUUAAAGAGAAGAAAGAUUGCUUCAGACGCCUAUACCUGGAUAGGAGUGCAGACAACAUAGAGAAGUACAAGAUGGCGAAGAAGGCCGCAAAGCGAGCUGUUGGUGAAGCAAGGGGUCGGGCAUAUGAGGACCUCUACCAACGGUUAGGCACGAAGGAAGGUGAAAGGGACAUCUAUAAGAUGGCCAAGAUCCGAGAGAGGAAGACGACGGAUAUUGGCCAAGUCAAAUGCAUCAAGGAUGGAGUAGGCCAACUCUUGGUGAAGGACGAGGAGAUUAAGCAUAGAUGGCGGGAGUACUUCGACAAGCUGUUCAAUGGGGAGAAUGAGAGUUCUACCAUUGAACUGGACGACUCCUUUGAUGAGACCAGCAUGCGUUUUGUGCGGCGAAUCCAGGAGUCUGAGGUGAAGGAGGCUUUAAAAAGGAUGAAAGGAGGCAAGGCGAUGGGCCCUGAUUGUAUCCCCAUUGAGGUGUGGAAAGGUCUCGGGGACAUAGCGAUAGUAUGGCUAACCAAGCUUUUCAACCUCAUUUUUCGGGCAAACAAGAUGCCAGAAGAAUGGAGACGGAGUAUAUUAGUACCAAUCUUCAAGAACAAGGGGGAUGUCCAGAGUUGUACUAAUUACCGUGGAAUUAAGCUGAUGAGCCAUACAAUGAAGCUAUGGGAGAGAGUCAUUGAGCACCGCUUAAGAAGAAUGACAAGCGUGACCAAAAAUCAGUUUGGUUUCAUGCCUGGGAGGUCGACCAUGGAAGCCAUUUAA